Molecule: ribosomal RNA, 492 nt
Filed under: uncultured bacterium
Lineage: Bacteria
Description: partial 16S ribosomal RNA
Rfam family: Bacterial small subunit ribosomal RNA
Source: RNAcentral
GAUGAACGCUAGCUACAGGCUUAACACAUGCAAGUCGAGGGGAAACGCCAUCGAAAGCUUGCUUUUGAUGGGCGUCGACCGGCGCACGGGUGAGUAACGCGUAUCCAACCUGCCCAUCACUUGGGGAUAACCUUGCGAACGUAAGACUAAUACCCAAUGAUAUCUCUAGAAGACAUCUGAAAGAGAUUAAAGAUUUAUCGGUGAUGGAUGGGGAUGCGUCUGAUUAGCUUGUUGGCGGGGUAACGGCCCACCAAGGCAACGAUCAGUAGGGGUUCUGAGAGGAGGGUCCCCCACAGUGGAACUGAGACACGGGCCAAACUCCUACGGGAGGGAGCAGUGAGGAAUAUUGGUCAAUGGGCGAGAGCCUGAACCAGCCAAGUAGCGUGCAGGAAGACGGCGUUAUGGGUUGUAAACUGCUUUUAGAAGGGAAUAAAGUGAGAGUCGUGACUCUUUUUGUAUGUACCUUAUGAAUAAGGACCGGCUAAUUCCGUG